GAAGAAAAACUCUUCUUGAGUCAGGGAGGCGAGGAGAGCCGGACGAGGGACCCACCAGAGGCGGGAGAGAGCGCCCCACAGUCAAUGUUCUUGGAGAUCGAGGCCACCCAGAUGAGCCUGGAUCCUGAGCUAGAGCUGCCCAGCCCACUGUGCGGGGCGCUGCCCGGCGAGAUGCCCUCCAAGCCGGCCAAGGCGGGAGACUGCAGGGAAGAGGAGCUGGUGAGCUACUCAUCCCUCGGCGACUUCGGGCAUGCCCCCAGG
Molecule: long non-coding RNA, 261 nt
Filed under: Ornithorhynchus anatinus (platypus)
Lineage: Eukaryota; Metazoa; Chordata; Mammalia; Monotremata; Ornithorhynchidae
Description: lncRNA (ENSOANG00000044788.1)
Source: RNAcentral